GACGAACGCUGGCGGCGUGCCUAAUACAUGCAAGUCGAGCGGACUGAAUGGGAGCUUGCUCUUGUUCGGUCAGCGGCGGACGGGUGAGUAACACGUGGGCAACCUGCCCGCAAGACCGGGAUAACUCCGGGAAACCGGAGCUAAUACCGGAUAACACCGAAGACCGCAUGGUCUUUGGGUGAAAGGCGGCGCAAGCUGCCACUUGCGGAUGGGCCCGCGGCGCAUUAGCUAGUUGGUGAGGUAACGGCUCACCAAGGCGACGAUGCGUAGCCGGCCUGAGAGGGUGAGCGGCCACCAUGGGACUGAGACACGGCCCAGACCCCUACGGGAGGCAGCAGUAGGGAAUCUUCCGCAAGGGGCGAAAGCCUGACGGAGCGACGCCGCGUGAGCGAAGAAGGCCUUCGGGUCGUAAAGCUCUGUUGUGAGGGACGAAGGAGCGCCGUUUGAAGAAGGCGGCGCGGUGACGGUACCUCACGAGGAAGCCCCGGCUAACUACGUG
This 499-nucleotide ribosomal RNA is filed under the name uncultured bacterium. RNAcentral's name for it is "partial 16S ribosomal RNA". It matches the Rfam family "Bacterial small subunit ribosomal RNA", at positions 28 to 507 of the family's 1533-position model. The record is from RNAcentral.